Non-coding RNA from Massilia sp. CF038, 181 nucleotides. NCBI's taxonomy places the organism in Bacteria, Pseudomonadati, Pseudomonadota, Betaproteobacteria, Burkholderiales, Oxalobacteraceae. The record is from Rfam.
UCCACCCUGCGGUGUUCGCGAUUGCCAUAUAUUCCUUGAACCAUUUAUGUGCACAGGUUGCGGAAUUUUGUUUGAUGGGAGUGAGCGUCACUCGUUUGACGAACCCGAAAUUGAACUAACUGUGACCGCCUUGAACCAUUAGGUUCAGGAUGCCGGCGAAGACGGCACAUGCGGGGCUUCG